GCAUAUCAAUAAGCGGAGGAAAAGAAACCAACAGGGAUUGCCUUAGUAACGGCGAGUGAAGCGGCAACAGCUCAAAUUUGAAAUCUGGCCUCUUUGGGGUCCGAGUUGUAAUUUGCAGAGGGCGCUUUGGUGUCGGCAGCGGUCCAAGUUCCUUGGAACAGGACGUCACAGAGGGUGAGAAUCCCGUACGUGGUCGCUAGCCUUCACCGUGUAAAGCCCCUUCGACGAGUCGAGUUGUUUGGGAAUGCAGCUCUAAAUGGGAGGUAAAUUUCUUCUAAAGCUAAAUACUGGCCAGAGACCGAUAGCGCACAAGUAGAGUGAUCGAAAGAUGAAAAGCACUUUGGAAAGAGAGUCAAACAGCACGUGAAAUUGUUGAAAGGGAAGCGCUUGCAGCCAGACUUGCCUGUAGUUGCUCAUCCGGACUUUUGUCCGGUGCACUCUUCUAUGGGCAGGCCAGCAUCAGUUUGGGCGGUUGGAUAAAGGUCUCUGUCAUGUACCUCUCUUCGGGGAGGACUUAUAGGGGAGGCGACAUGCAACCAGCCCAGACUGAGGUCCGCGCAUUUAUGCUAGGAUGCUGGCGUAAUGGCUGUAAGCGGCCCGUCUUGAAACACGGACC
This 616-nucleotide ribosomal RNA is filed under the name Dothidotthia aspera. RNAcentral's name for it is "eukaryotic LSU rRNA". It matches the Rfam family "Eukaryotic large subunit ribosomal RNA", at positions 38 to 667 of the family's 3401-position model. The record is from RNAcentral. Lineage: Eukaryota; Fungi; Ascomycota; Dothideomycetes; Pleosporales; Dothidotthiaceae.